RNAcentral lists this unclassified non-coding RNA (2085 nucleotides) under uncultured fungus. Its description in RNAcentral is "sequence contains 18S rRNA gene, ITS1, 5.8S rRNA gene, ITS2, 28S rRNA gene". The stretch from base 1070 to 2085 matches the Rfam family "Eukaryotic large subunit ribosomal RNA", at positions 1 to 961 of the family's 3401-position model. The record is from RNAcentral. Lineage: Eukaryota; Fungi.
AGCUGGAUCAUUUUUCCGAUCAAAAAACAAAACAAAUGAAAAUGCGUCGCUAAAAAACGUGCUUUUUCGUUUGUGUCUUUGUGUUGUCUUGUGUUUUGUGUCUUGUGUGUGUGUUGUGCUAAGGCAUCCUUAGUAGACCUGCGCCACGAAACGGCUUCACCGCUGUGGGUUGGGUCGGCAGAAAAACAACGUCCUUGUUCCCGUGUGAAAUCUUCUCUUGGUUUUGCCUAGCAGUUACUGUUUCGCGUUAAAAACGAAGUAGUGCUGCGCCUUCCGGCAUUAUCUCGAGAGGAGCGUGUUGCGUCCGGCACUCGGACAGCGCGUGAAAAGCAUCGUGGGACGCACAAAGGCCGUUUCUCUUCUCCCCCAGUUACUCACAGUGCUGGGCUGCAGAAACCAGGCGGUGCCGGCACACAUACACAUACUCACAUACUCAUACAUACAGUACAAAACACGCAAAACGCGAAACUGCACGAAAAGACGCCUCUUUUCACCAAAACACAACAACUUACUUUUUUGCCGCCCAACCACGGUUGGCGACGGCUCCCACAACGUGUCGCGAUGGAUGACUUGGCUUCCUAUUUCGUUGAAGAACGCAGCAAAGUGCGAUAAGUGGUAUCAAUUGCAGAACCUUUCAAUUACCGAAUCUUUGAACGCAAACGGCGCUCGGAAGAAGGCACCUUUGGUGUUCAACUCCGAGCAUGCCAUGUCCUCAGUGUCGAACAAAAACCAAACAAAAAUCAAAAAGCAGAUUCUGUGCUUGGCGCGUUUCUUGUCACUCGCAAGAGAACAAGAAGCGCGCCGGUGCGGUGGCUCCACUUGUGUUCUGUGCCCGCCUCUGUGGGUGCGAUAACGAGCGAAUGCAAUUCUGCUUUUCUCAGCGCUGUCUCAAAAACAGCGUUGGGAGAAGUCACUCGUUCAGUUCAGAAAUUUUCUGCCCCGUCAAAAAGGGUAGAAAAAAAGAACCAAAACAAUUGAACAACAGUUGUCUUUUCUUCUGGCUUCUGAAAUUUGAGCGAGAGCGUAAACUUCCCGUAAAAACGGAAAUAGCGCGCAACUUCCGGUUCACAGACCUGAGCGUGGCAGGACUACCCGCCGAACUUAAGCAUAUUAUUCAGCGGAGGAAAAGAAAACAACCGUGAUUCCCUCAGUCAGGGGCGACCGAAGAGGGACCGGACCCGUUGCUGAAUCUGGCCCUCAAACGGGCUUGAGUUGUGGCAAUGACGCUGAUUGUGGUUGGUAAGCGGACUGGUGAAAUUCAAUGUGCAAAGCAGACCCGUUGCUGGACACAACCUCUCUUGUGAGUAUUGAGCCCUAGACCGGUGUUAGCCCGUUGAGCCAGAAACCGCAGCCUCAUGAAACAGCACCAAGCGAGUAGCACUGCUUGGGAAUGCAGUGUGAAGUGGCAGGUAUGUGUCUGCCAAGGUUAAAUACAGAGUAGGAAGACCGAUAGCGAACAAGUAGCGUGAGCGAAAGUUUGAAAAGCACUUUGGAAAGAGAGUGACAUAGAACCUGAAGUCGUGACAACGAUAAGGGACGUACCUCCAUUUCAUUUUUCGGUCAGGGCCGACCACCUAAGCAUUCUCCCGAUCGGACUCACGAGGCCGGGCGGGCAACUAAAGUGCAGAAGAGGGGUACCGGCAAAUCGAGCGGAAGUAAAGGCGUGCGUCCCGGCGUGGCGAGUGUAAAAAGCUCGUCUGCGCCGCACGCGUGCGUCUUUUCCGUGAUGCUCAAACACUUGACGCUGGAAAUGGGGUGCCUCCACCCGUCUUGAAACACGGACCAAGGAGUCAAACAGACGCGCAAGGGAGAGGAUUCUACACAAGUACCAUCUCUCGUACUGAAAGGGAGGUCGCAAGACCAAUGGUGUGCACACAACACGAAUGCCCAACACCGACCGGCCCGCACGCGGGUUGAGUUAGAGUGUGCCUGUUUGGACCCGAAAGGUGGUGAACUAUGCCUGAACAAGGUGAAGCCCGGGGAAACCCAGGUGGAGGCCUGUAGCGAUGCUGACGUGCAAAUCGCUCGCAUGAUUUGGGUAUCGGAGCGAAAGACUCAUCGAACCACCUAGUAGCUGGUUCACAU